GAUGAACGCUGGCGGCGUGCCUAAUACAUGCAAGUCGAGCGAACAGACGAGGAGCUUGCUCCUCUGACGUUAGCGGCGGACGGGUGAGUAACACGUGGAUAACCUACCUAUAAGACUGGGAUAACUUCGGGAAACCGGCGCUAAUACCGGAUAAUAUAUUGAACCGCAUGGUUCAAUAGUGAAAGACGGCUUUGCUGUCACUUAUAGAUGGAUCCGCGCCGCAUUAGCUAGUUGGUAAGGUAACGGCUUACCAAGGCAACGAUGCGUAGCCGACCUGAGAGGGUGAUAGGCCACACUGGAACUGAGACACGGUCCAUACUCCUACGGGAGGCAGCAGUAGGGAAUCUUCCGCAGUGGGCGAAAGCCUGACGGAGCAACGCCGCGUGAGUGAUGAAGGUCUUCGGAUCGUAAAACUCUGUUAUUAGGGAAGAACAAAUGUGUAAGUAACUAUGCACGUCUUGACGGUACCUAAUCAGAAAGCCACGGCUAACUACGUG
This 497-nucleotide ribosomal RNA is filed under the name uncultured bacterium. Its description in RNAcentral is "partial 16S ribosomal RNA". It matches the Rfam family "Bacterial small subunit ribosomal RNA", at positions 28 to 507 of the family's 1533-position model. The record is from RNAcentral.